RNAcentral lists this ribosomal RNA (451 nucleotides) under uncultured Lactobacillus sp. Its description in RNAcentral is "bacterial SSU rRNA". It matches the Rfam family "Bacterial small subunit ribosomal RNA", at positions 28 to 453 of the family's 1533-position model. The record is from RNAcentral. Lineage: Bacteria; Bacillati; Bacillota; Bacilli; Lactobacillales; Lactobacillaceae.
GACGAACGCUGGCGGCGUGCCUAAUACAUGCAAGUCGAACGAAACUUUCUUACACCGAAUGCUUGCAUUCAUCGUAAGAAGUUGAGUGGCGGACGGGUGAGUAACACGUGGGUAACCUGCCCAAAAGAAGGGGAUAACAUUUGGAAACAAAUGCUAAUACCGUAUAACCAUGAUGACCGCAUGGUCAUUAUGUAAAAGGUGGUUUUGCUAUCGCUUUUGGAUGGACCCGCGGCGUAUUAACUAGUUGGUAGGGUAACGGCCUACCAAGGUGAUGAUACGUAGCCGAACUGAGAGGUUGAUCGGCCACAUUGGGACUGAGACACGGCCCAAACUCCUACGGGAGGCAGCAGUAGGGGAAUCUUCCACAAUGGGCGCAAGCCUGAUGGAGCAACGCCGCGUGAAUGAAGGAGGUCUUCGGAUCGUAAAAUUUCUGUUGUUAGAGAAGAAUAUG